CAUCAGAACUCUCUCCAGAUGAAUUGAAUCUGAGCUGGAAAGCAGCCUGUGACUCAUCGCGGGUGACUGCUCAGCCCAGAUGUCUCCAAUGGAAGGCACGGCCAAAACACUGCUCUUGGAACAAGAAGUGGAGCUUCAGGUUCUCCAUCUGGCAUCAGUGCCUGCCUGGCAUAACUGUGACAUGGAAAAGUAUGAGAGCACCUUGGAUUGUCACUGCAGUUGAAACCAAGAACAAGCAAUGCAAGAUUGUUAUGGGUGCAUUGUAUCCCCAGUUUGCAUGUUGACAUCCUAACCACUAGAACCUCAGAAUGGGACUGUAUUUGGAGACAAGGUCUUUACACAGGUAAUUAAAUUAAAAAAGGUCAUUAAGUUGGUCCCUUUUUUACAAUGUGACUGUUAUCUGUAUAAGAAGAGGAGAUUAGGACACAUAUACGUACAGAGACAAGACAUUGUAAAGACACAGGGGGAAGACAGCCAUCCACAAGCCAAACACAUCACAAGAAUUGUGAGAAAAUAAAUUUUUACUGUUGUUGGAUGACUCUGAUUUUACAAACAUCUGAGCCUUCAGAAUCGUGAGAAAAUAAAUUUCUACUCUUUAAGACAUCCAGUCUGGUGUGUGUGUGUUUCUUUUUUAAUGGCAGCCUAGCAAACUAGUAUAAAAGUGUGUGAGGAUUAAAAGGGGAGGCAGGCUGGCUGUGGUGGCUCACACCUGUAAUCCCAGCACUUUUUUUUUUAAAGACAGAGGCUUGCUCUAUUACCAGACUGGAGUGCAGUGGCCUGAUCUCAGCUCACUGCCACCCCUG
RNAcentral lists this long non-coding RNA (803 nucleotides) under Macaca fascicularis (crab-eating macaque). Its description in RNAcentral is "lncRNA (ENSMFAG00000047623.1)". Lineage: Eukaryota; Metazoa; Chordata; Mammalia; Primates; Cercopithecidae. The record is from RNAcentral.